UGGCGCUGUAAUUCCCAUACAAGGGCUUUGAAACAAGAGCAGACAUUAUCAGCGACGUAACAAUAUUUUAGAAGACGUUAUCGUUGACGUCAAAAUGCAGAUAAGACAUUAUCAGGCUUGCUUUCGUCAAGCGUAAAAUAGUCUAAGGGAAUGGAAAUAGACCAGUAAUAGAACGGUAAAAAGAUAAUCGUUUUUUUCUACAUAUUAAUAUCAUAAAAUAUCAGCUGCUCGCCACAAUGUGAAGUUUUUGUUUACUCCGAUCGCUGCGCUUACUCGCCAAAACGGUAAAACCCGAUUAUCUAUACUUCUGUGCGUUCGUUGCAUUACAUAUACCUCAAUGAACUUCAGGUAUCCUGUUUACAUAUCUGGUUUGAUACUUUCCUUCGUGCAUCUCACCACUGUGGGUUAUUUGUAAACAAGGAUAAUCUUCUUAGAAAAACAAUGCGUCAACACAUAAUUUAAAGUAGAUUAAUCAACACUGUGUAAAUGUUAGGUCUACACCGAGAUUUGGUUAAACAAUAUGAUAUGUCUUUGUCUCAACUCCCCGGAGGCAUAUUAUUUGCGAUAAUUUAUAUUUGAAAACCGCGUCGGUACGUUUUACGACUGACUAUACAGUAUUUGUGAAUUGCAUAGGUGAACGUCGCUCGUUGGUCGAUAAUUGCUUUCAUUCACUUCAAUUAAACUUUGGUUGUUAGUUGUCUCAUUUUUUAUCAUACCACUUCUCUUUUUUAUUAUAGUUCAUUAGGUGAUACUCUUUUUAGUUUAUCUUAAUUGUCUCCAUCUGAAAACACAGCUUAUUGUUCAACUUAAUUUGCGAUAGCUAAAAACACUGCAAGUACUAGUACAUUAGAAAGAACCAAUCAGUAUU
RNAcentral lists this long non-coding RNA (868 nucleotides) under Mytilus galloprovincialis (Mediterranean mussel). Lineage: Eukaryota; Metazoa; Mollusca; Bivalvia; Mytilida; Mytilidae. The record is from RNAcentral.